UGUGGGAGCGGGCUUGCUCGCGAUGCAUGCAACCCGGUAUGUCUGACAUACCGUGUCGAUGCUAUCGCGAGCAAGCCCGCUCCCACA
This 87-nucleotide unclassified non-coding RNA is filed under the name Pseudomonas fragi. Lineage: Bacteria; Pseudomonadati; Pseudomonadota; Gammaproteobacteria; Pseudomonadales; Pseudomonadaceae. The record is from RNAcentral.